This 546-nucleotide ribosomal RNA is filed under the name uncultured bacterium. RNAcentral describes it as "bacterial SSU rRNA". It matches the Rfam family "Bacterial small subunit ribosomal RNA", at positions 776 to 1320 of the family's 1533-position model. The record is from RNAcentral.
GAAUAGAUACCCCGGUAGUCCACGCCGUAAACGUUGGGCGCUAGGUGUGGGGGUCCUUCCACGACCUCUGUGCCGCAGCUAACGCAUUAAGCGCCCCGCCUGGGGAGUACGGCCGCAAGGCUAAAACUCAAAGGAAUUGACGGGGGCCCGCAUAAGCGGCGGAGCAUGCGGAUUAAUUCGAUGCAACGCGAAGAACCUUACCAAGGCUUGACAUGUACAGGAAAGUUCCAGAGAUGGUUCCCCCGCAAGGUCUGUACACAGGUGGUGCAUGGUUGUCGUCAGCUCGUGUCGUGAGAUGUUGGGUUAAGUCCCGCAACGAGCGCAACCCUCGCCUUAUGUUGCCAGCACGUAAUGGUGGGAACUCAUAAGAGACUGCCGGGGUCAACUCGGAGGAAGGUGGGGAUGACGUCAAAUCAUCAUGCCCCUUAUGUCUUGGGCUUCACGCAUGCUACAAUGGCCGGUACAAUGGGCUGCAAUACCGCGAGGUGGAGCGAAUCCCGAAAAAGCCGGUCUCAGUUCGGAUUGGGGUUCUGCAACUCGACCCCG